CAGACGCCAAGCCACAACACAUAGAUACCUAUUUACCACAUUAUUUAAUUGUUGGCGGUUCCUCCACGGAAAAUAUAACAUUUUUUGAUCCCAUCUGAUAAAAGUGCUUCUUCGCCUGCAGACGCCAAUAAGGAAUCUUCAUUUGCUGUUACGGUACACACUGAAAAUAUUGCGCCUCCGAAUAAGCGAAAGAAAUUUGAGAAAUCUUAUGUGUGGAAGUUUUUUGAAAAAUGCCAA
RNAcentral lists this small RNA (237 nucleotides) under Drosophila mojavensis. RNAcentral describes it as "GI26772". Lineage: Eukaryota; Metazoa; Arthropoda; Insecta; Diptera; Drosophilidae. The record is from RNAcentral.